RNAcentral lists this long non-coding RNA (736 nucleotides) under Homo sapiens (human). RNAcentral's name for it is "HSALNT0057838". Lineage: Eukaryota; Metazoa; Chordata; Mammalia; Primates; Hominidae. The record is from RNAcentral.
AAGCUAUCUUCACAUCCUCUGGAUAAAAAAGGUUCUCUCUCCACACCAUGAAGCUGCUGCUGAAGGAGGGAAGAGGGCUAGUGUUGGCAAUCCAAGACAGUCUUUUCUACACUCUUCAGUGUCUCGUUAAACUACAUGAAGCUAAAACCAGGCAUCACAACAGGGUGGAAUUGGAGUUGCUCUAUGAAAAAAAGCUGAAGUAUGCAUAGCCUGCCUGAUCACUGGUGUAGAGUCAAAGAAAUAAAGUUUGAACUUGAACAGCAAUGCUUCCUUGGAAUAUUCUCUCCAUGAGGGUUUGGAUGGUAUACUCAUUUGGACAGAAGGUUUCAAAAGAAAGAAGGAGAGAGAGAGGAGAAAAGAAGAAAAGAAAAGAAAAGAAAAGAAAGAAAAGAAAAGAGAAAUGAAAAAAAAAAUAGGAAAACAGGUGAAGACAAUGAACAAAUGGCUCCACUUUUGUAACCAACAGAGGUUCCAGCAUGAUCACAAACAAAACAUCUGACAACUCAAAAAAGUAUCUCCAUGUGUUUCCACACAUGGACCAAUUUGGACUGGAAUGAAAAGUGUGAGCUACCACAAACAGUUCCUCUUCAGGUCAUAUAUGGUGGUCACCCCAACACUAUGCUCUUCUGUAAAACAUUUUACACUUACAGCCUUGUCCAGUUUCUCUCUCCAACAACUUGACUUCCUGUGCUAUAGAUAAGUAUCAAUGCCUCCUCUUUUUUAAAUCACUGUGGCC